CAAUAGCGUAUAUUAAAGUUGUUGCAGUUAAAAAGCUCGUAGUUGGAUUUGUGCUCUUCUGCGAUGUCCAAUUUGGUACGUUCGCGGAGGAGCAUCCUUGGGUGGAACCUGCGUGGCAUUAGGUUGUCGUGUAGGGGAUGCUCAUCGUUUACUGUGAAAAAAUUAGAGUGUUCAAAGCAGGCUUAGGCCGUUGAAUAUAUUAGCAUGGAAUAAUGAGAUAGGACCUUGGUACUAUUUUGUUGGUUUGCGCACCGAGGUAAUGAUUAACAGGGACAGUUGGGGGUAUUCGUAUUCCAUUGUCAGAGGUGAAAUUCUUGGAUUUUUGGAAGACGAACUACUGCGAAAGCAUUUACCAAGGAUGUUUNCAUUAA
Molecule: ribosomal RNA, 371 nt
Filed under: uncultured eukaryote
Lineage: Eukaryota
Description: partial 18S ribosomal RNA
Rfam family: Eukaryotic small subunit ribosomal RNA
Source: RNAcentral